GAAACCAAACCUGCUAUGCUUUGUCUAGGCUCCCAAGCUAUCCUUUGAAAUAUCAGUGGAAGCCUCCAAGACCCCUAACUCCAGCUUCCUGCAGUCCUGCAGAACUGGCACCAUUUGGUGGAUGCGCAGGUCUGCCACAAUCUAAACAGUAGCCAAGCUUCCUGCAGCAACCUCUGAGCAUUGCUGAAUAUAGUGAAACAUCUUCCUAGGUGCCCCUGUGCAAACAGGGGCCUCAUACUCUCUUCUCAAAGGCAUUUUAAAUUUUACAUCCUUGAUCCUGAGAUGGGUGUGGUCUUGCCAUUUUCUGAGGUGCCCUGAAGCCAUAUUUUCUAUUGUCUGUUUCUAUUGUAUAUUUCUGUUGUCACCAUUUCUUUAGUGGCUUUAAUAUCUCUAACAACCACACCUUCCUUAGCCAGAGUUUGAUUCCCAUUUUUCUUGCCAAACUGCAAGUUUUCAAAUCUUCCUGCUCUGCUUUCUGCUCCUGAGUAUCAUGGUAAACUUGGCUAACAGCCUCUAGCAGUAUCCAUGCCAUACUGCCUGAAUGCUGUGCUACUUUGAGAUUUCCUCUACCAGAGUCAUUAGUUCUUCACCUUUAAAUUCAAUCUCAGGAAAGUCUCAGCACAUGGGCAAAAUGGAAACAACAUCUUUGCCACAUAUAACAUGAAUGACCUCUAGUCCAAUUUCCAAUAAAGUUCUACUUCUCCUCUGCAAUCUCAUGAGCUCAGUCUUUGCUGUCCAUUUGCAUUUUGGUCUUCUGAACUCCACCAGAAUCACCCAUCAAGGCCCACUUGCAACUAAAACUUUUCCAACUUGUACCUCUAAACUUUUCAAAAUUCCUGCCACAAAUUCCAAAGAGUUCCCAAAUCUCCUGAAUCAAAGACCUGACAAGAACAACAUGGAGGAGGAAAAUUUUAUUUGGGGGCUCAUGGCUUUAGAGGUUCAGUCCAGGGUUAUCUGACUUAAUAUUGUUUGACCUAAAGCAAAGCAGGACAUCAUGGCAGAAGGGCGUGGGAGAGGAAAGUAGGUCAGGACAUGGCACCAAGAGCAGAGAGAGCUCCACUCACCACAAACAGAAUAUAAACUCCAAAGCCAUGCCCAGUGACUCACCUCCUCCAGCUGCUCUUCACCUCCCUACAGUUACCGCCCAGUUAAUUCCUAUCAGUGACCAAUGCACUGAUUAAGCUAAAACUCUCAUAUCUCAAUCAUUUGACAUCUAAACUUUCUUGCAUUACAUGAGCUUUGGGGAGACACCUCAUAUCUAAACCAUAAAAGGAGUACUAUAGAUAUCUCUUGGAUGUAAUGAUUUCAUUUCCUGUGGAUAUUUUCCCAGGUGUGAUAUUGACAGAUCAUAUAAUAAUUCGAUUUUUAAUUUUUUAAACACACUCCAUACUUUUUUCCAUAAUGACUGUACUAAUUUACAUUCCCACUGAUUGUACAUAAGAGUUCCCCUUCAUCUGUCUCCUCACUAGCAUUUAUUUUGUGUCUUUUUAAUAAUAGCCAUUAAAACUGGAGUGAAAUAAUAUUUCAGUGUGGUUUUGAUGUGCAUUUCCCUGAUUAGAAAAUUGAACAUAUUUUUUCAUACACAUGUUGGCCCNACCUAGAAGGAUA
This 1608-nucleotide long non-coding RNA is filed under the name Marmota monax (woodchuck). The record is from RNAcentral. Lineage: Eukaryota; Metazoa; Chordata; Mammalia; Rodentia; Sciuridae.